GCCGUAAAGUAGGCUUUCAACUCAGGACAGCGCCACUUCUCACAAACACAGACAGGAUUGGAGAUGAAAAGAUUAACUGGCACGUAACCACGAGCAGCUUCGUGGGAAAUUAAGAAUCCAUGCCACCGACAUAACCAAUCACACUAUGACAGACGCUCAACCUCUGCUCUUGUUUGUUGUCUUUGUUUGCCUGGCCCCGUGUGGACUUUGCCUUUGCUGACUGACUGCUUGUUGCUGACCUCUGAUGCUCUCCAAGGAAUGCAAAAAUGCCUUUAACUUCCAAAAAAAUGGACACCAACAACUUGAACACGUCUUCUGUUAUUCAUUACGGAAGAAAUUUGAAAGAAAAUGAAGACAGCUUUCACAAGAUAACUCCAAAACGUUAUGAGUGGCAAUGUGUGUAAUCAUAUUGUUGAUUCAUGUAUGUAAAAAUGCCAGCAAUUAAAUAAAAAACUGAUGUAGA
Perca fluviatilis (European perch) is the source of this 463-nucleotide long non-coding RNA. RefSeq lists it as uncharacterized. The transcript has 3 exons. NCBI's taxonomy places the organism in Eukaryota, Metazoa, Chordata, Actinopteri, Perciformes, Percidae. The record is from RefSeq and is a predicted model, not a curated record.